This 336-nucleotide unclassified non-coding RNA is filed under the name soil metagenome. RNAcentral's name for it is "partial contains 5.8S ribosomal RNA, internal transcribed spacer 2, and large subunit ribosomal RNA". The stretch from base 1 to 120 matches the Rfam family "5.8S ribosomal RNA", at positions 35 to 154 of the family's 154-position model. The record is from RNAcentral.
GAUGAAGAACGCAGCGAAAUGCGAUAAGUAAUGUGAAUUGCAGAAUUCAGUGAAUCAUCGAAUCUUUGAACGCACAUUGCGCCCGCCAGUAUUCUGGCGGGCAUGCCUGUUCGAGCGUCAUUUCAACCAUCAAGCCCCCGGCUUGUGUUGGGGACCUGCGGCUGCCGCAGGCCCUGAAAACCAGUGGCGGGCUCGCUAGUCACUCCGAGCGUAGUAAUACAUCUCGCUCAGGGCGUGCUGUGGGUUCCGGCCGUUAAAAAAGCCUUAUUUACCCAAGGUUGACCUCGGAUCAGGUAGGAAGACCCGCUGAACUUAAGCAUAUCAAUAAGCGGAGGA